AAGUCGUAACAAGGUCUCCGUUGGUGAACCAGCGGAGGGAUCAUUACCGAGUUUACAACUCCCAAACCCCUGUGAACAUACCUUCUGUUGCUUCGGCGGGAUCGCCCCGGCGCCUUCGGGCCCGGACCCAGGCGCCCGCCGGAGGACCCAAACUCUUGUCUCAAUGAGAAUCUUCUGAGUGAUACAAGCAAAUAAAUUAAAA
RNAcentral lists this unclassified non-coding RNA (202 nucleotides) under plant metagenome. RNAcentral's name for it is "partial contains small subunit ribosomal RNA and internal transcribed spacer 1". The stretch from base 1 to 46 matches the Rfam family "Eukaryotic small subunit ribosomal RNA", at positions 1786 to 1831 of the family's 1831-position model. The record is from RNAcentral.